GAUGAACGCUGACAGCAUGCUUAACACAUGCAAGUCGACUUGAACUUCGGUUUGGGUGGCGGACGGGUGAGUAACGCGUAAAGAACUUGCCUCACAGAUAGGGACAACAUUUGGAAACGAAUGCUAAUACCUGAUAUUAUGAUUAUAUGGCAUCGUAUAAUUAUGAAAGCUAUAUGCGCUGUGAGAGAGCUUUGCGUCCCAUUAGCUAGUUGGAGAGGUAACGGCUCACCAAGGCGAUGAUGGGUAGCCGGCCUGAGAGGGUGAUCGGCCACAAGGGGACCGAGAGACGGCGCAGACGCCUACGGGAGGCAGCGGUGGGGAAUAUUGGACAAUGGACCAAGGGGCUGAUCCAGGAAUUCUGUGUGCACGAUGAAGUUUUUCGGAAGGUAAAGUGUUUUCAGUUGGGAAGAAAAAAAAUGACGGUACCAACAGAAGAAGUGACGGCUAAAUACGUG
RNAcentral lists this ribosomal RNA (455 nucleotides) under uncultured bacterium. RNAcentral's name for it is "partial 16S ribosomal RNA". It matches the Rfam family "Bacterial small subunit ribosomal RNA", at positions 28 to 507 of the family's 1533-position model. The record is from RNAcentral.